UAGUUUUUUUAGAAAUAAAUUUAAUUUACAAAUUUUUAAUUUUUUGGUUAUUUAUUUAAUUAAAAAAUUUAUUUAUUUGAAUAUCUUAAGGGAUAAGCUUUGAGAUAAAUCUUUAAAAAUUAAUAAUGGUGAUAUAGAAUGUAUGCUUAGAAUUAGCAAUCGUUAUAAAGUUUGUUAUAAAUUAUUUUAUGAAUUAUAUUAUUUAUUAUAUUUUGAUUUAUUUAUAAAAAUUUUUUUAUUAAUAAAGUAUAAGAAGGAAUGAUGAUGGAAUUAGUAUAUUUUUAUUGUUUAUGUAAUUUUAUAUGAUAAGUUUAUAUAAAGAACUCGGCAAAAAUUUUACCCGCCUGUUUAACAAAAACAUGUCUUUUUGAGUUAUUUUUAAAGUCUGACCUGCCCACUGAAAUUAUUUAAAUGGCCGCAGUAUUCUAACUGUGCAAAGGUAGCAUAAUCAUUAGUCUUUUAAUUGAAG
Molecule: ribosomal RNA, 469 nt
Filed under: Bactrocera versicolor
Lineage: Eukaryota; Metazoa; Arthropoda; Insecta; Diptera; Tephritidae
Description: partial 16S ribosomal RNA
Source: RNAcentral